RNAcentral lists this unclassified non-coding RNA (357 nucleotides) under soil metagenome. RNAcentral describes it as "partial contains 5.8S ribosomal RNA, internal transcribed spacer 2, and large subunit ribosomal RNA". The stretch from base 1 to 120 matches the Rfam family "5.8S ribosomal RNA", at positions 35 to 154 of the family's 154-position model. The record is from RNAcentral.
GAUGAAGAACGCAGCGAAAUGCGAUAAGUAGUGUGAAUUGCAGAAUUCAGUGAAUCAUCGAAUCUUUGAACGCACAUUGCGCCCGUUAGCAUUCUAGCGGGCAUGCCUGUCCGAGCGUCAUUUCAACCCUCAGGGUCCCCGUUCCGGCGGGGAACCUGGUGUUGGGGAUCGGCCCGCCCCGUGCGGCGCCGUCCCCCAAAUUCAGUGGCGGUCUCGCUGCAGCCUCCCCUGCGUAGUAGUUACAACCUCGCAUCGGAGCUCAGCGCGGCCACGCCGUAAAACCCCCGACUUUCUGAACGUUGACCUCGGAUCAGGUAGGAAUACCCGCUGAACUUAAGCAUAUCAAUAAGCGGAGGA